This 301-nucleotide ribosomal RNA is filed under the name uncultured bacterium. RNAcentral's name for it is "partial 16S ribosomal RNA". It matches the Rfam family "Bacterial small subunit ribosomal RNA", at positions 509 to 807 of the family's 1533-position model. The record is from RNAcentral.
CAGUAGCCGCGGUAAUACAGAGGAUGCAAGCGUUAAUCGGAAUUACUGGGCGUAAAGCGCGCGUAGGUGGUUUGUUAAGUUGGAUGUGAAAGCCCCGGGCUCAACCUGGGAACUGCAUCCAAAACUGGCAAGCUAGAGUACGGUAGAGGGUGGUGGAAUUUCCUGUGUAGCGGUGAAAUGCGUAGAUAUAGGAAGGAACACCAGUGGCGAAGGCGACCACCUGGACUGAUACUGACACUGAGGUGCGAAAGCGUGGGGAGCAAACAGGAUUAGAUACCCCUGUAGUCCCUGUCUCUUAUAC